This 468-nucleotide ribosomal RNA is filed under the name uncultured bacterium. RNAcentral's name for it is "partial 16S ribosomal RNA". It matches the Rfam family "Bacterial small subunit ribosomal RNA", at positions 28 to 507 of the family's 1533-position model. The record is from RNAcentral.
GACGAACGCUGGCGGCGUGCUUAACACAUGCAAGUCGAACGGAAAGGCCCUGCUUUUGUGGGGUGCUCGAGUGGCGAACGGGUGAGUAACACGUGAGUAACCUGCCCUUGACUUUGGGAUAACUUCAGGAAACUGGGGCUAAUACCGGAUAGGAGCUCCUGCUGCAUGGUGGGGGUUGGAAAGUUUCGGCGGGUGGGGAUGGACACGCGGCUUAUCAGCUUGUUGGUGGGGUAGUGGCUUACCAAGGCUUUGACGGGUAGCCGGCCUGAGAGGGUGACCGGCCACAUUGGGACUGAGAUACGGCCCAGACUCCUACGGGAGGCAGCAGUGGGGAAUAUUGCACAAUGGGCGGAAGCCUGAUGCAGCAACGCCGCGUGCGGGAUGACGGCCUUCGGGUUGUAAACCGCUUUCGCCUGUGACGAAGCGUGAGUGACGGUAAUGGGUAAAGAAGCACCGGCUAACUACGUG